This 1325-nucleotide long non-coding RNA is filed under the name Homo sapiens (human). Its description in RNAcentral is "non-protein coding lnc-PDE7A-6:6". The record is from RNAcentral. Lineage: Eukaryota; Metazoa; Chordata; Mammalia; Primates; Hominidae.
AGAGCCUCUCAGGGCCCCAAGACUCCAGGAAGAAACAAGUAUUGUAGAAGCCAAAACCCCAAGGCAAGAUGAGGAAACUGAGGCCCCACGUGGUGAAGACAAUUUUUACCCGAAUCCACCCACAACAAGAGACCAUUUGGAUAAUGUACAUUAUGGGAAGAGAACAGAGUCUCAGUGAAGAUCAUGUUUCCCCAGCAACACAGGUGCCAGGAGUAGCUGGCUCUGGUCCCAGCCCAGACUCAGAAAUCCUGAGCCACCAGACCAUUUCUAGAUUAACAAGUAAGGUGACUUCUGAGCAACUAAUGUUUUCAUUGAGAUUUGAUGAUAAGCAGCAAAGCUCAAAUGAAAGUCCAGAGUUAGUGUUGGCAGGGCGAGAUGGCUCAUGCCUGUAAUCCCAGCACUUUGGGAGGCUGAGGUGGGAGGAUCACUUGAGCCCAGGAGUUUGAGACCAGCCCGAGCUAUAUAGUGAGACCCUAUCUCUACAAAAAAUACAAAAAUUAGCUGGGCGUAGUUGUGCGUGCCUGUAGUUCUAACUACUCAGGAGGCUGACAGGGGAUGAUCGCUUAAACCCAAGAUAUCGAAGCUGCAAUGAGUUGAGAUUGCACCACUGCACUCCAGCCUGGACGGCAGAAUGAAACCUUGUCUAAAACACACACACACACACACACACACACACACACACACACACACACACACACACACACACAGAGUAUUGAUUACAGCGCUAUACCAGGUUCUAGUGUUGAGUAAGGGACAGGGAGGAGCAAUCUGUAAAGAAAUAGAGUCUCACUGGAAUUUCAUUCUUCAUUAUUUCAUACCCUUCACUUUUUCUAGACGCUAACCCCAUAUGAUACUAAAAAGUAUCUGUAUUGCAUCAGACGACGUAUCUGUGAAGUCAGAGAAUUGUGCUUUAAGAAUCUCUCAAGAGGAGAACAUAUAUUGGGCUUUCAUAAUACCAAUAACAUUUUACAUCAUGCUUCAUUUACAAGCUAUUUUCACACAUAUCACUCUAUUUAAUCUUCACAACUUGGUGAGAUAAACAAAGUAUUAUUUUCAGUAUAAUUUUCUGGAUGAGAAAAUUAUAGCUUAGAGAAGUUGUGUCUUGCACGAGAUCACAAAGCUAAUUAAGUGGAAAGGUUACUUAACAUUAACUACAAACCAGAUCUUCCACCAAGCCUUUUCCCCACCACAGGGCUUUGCUGGUUGGGGAGAAAUUGUCAUUUGGUCCCAGAACACACUUGAAGGCCACUGCCUUAAGCAACCCUUUGAGUAACAAGGAAGAAAGUAUUCCCGUAGGUCAUAAAUACUGCUUUACUAACUUCCUA